This 460-nucleotide ribosomal RNA is filed under the name uncultured bacterium. Its description in RNAcentral is "partial 16S ribosomal RNA". It matches the Rfam family "Bacterial small subunit ribosomal RNA", at positions 338 to 795 of the family's 1533-position model. The record is from RNAcentral.
CCUACGGGAGGCAGCAGUGAGGAAUAUUGGUCAAUGGACGGAAGUCUGAACCAGCCAUGCCGCGUGCAGGAAGACGGCCCUAUGAGUUGUAAACUGCUUUUGUACAAGGGUAAACAUGAAUACGUGUAUUCAGCUGAAAGUACUGUAAGAAUAAGGCUCGGUUAACCCCGUGCCAGCAGCCGCGGGAAUACGGAGGAUCGAAGCGUUAUCCGGAUUUAUUGGGGUUAAAGGGUGCGUAGGCGGAUUGAUAAGUUAGAGGGGAAAAGUCCGAGCUUAACUCGGGUACUGCCUCUAAUACUGUUGAUCUAGAGAGUAGAUGCGGUAGGCGGAAUGUAUGGUGUAGCGGUGAAAUGCUUAGAGAUCAUGCAGAACACCGAUUGCGAAGGCAGCUUACCAGUCUAUAUCUGACGUUGAGGCACGAAAGCGUGGGGAGCAAACAGGAUUAGAUACCCGUGUAGUC